RNAcentral lists this ribosomal RNA (323 nucleotides) under uncultured bacterium. RNAcentral's name for it is "bacterial SSU rRNA". It matches the Rfam family "Bacterial small subunit ribosomal RNA", at positions 8 to 334 of the family's 1533-position model. The record is from RNAcentral.
AGGGUUCGAUCAUGCUCAGGAUGAACGCUGGCGGCGCGCCUAACACAUGCAAGUCGAACGGCACCCCUCCUCGGAGGGAAGCGAGUGGCGAACGGCUGAGUAACACGUGGAGAACCUGCCCCCUCCUCGGGGAUAGCCGCGGGAAACCGCGGGUAAAACCCGAUGACCCCGACGGGCCGCAUGGCACGCCGGGCAAAUCUCCGGAGGGAGGGGAUGGCUCCGCGGCCCAUCAGGUAGACGGCGGGGUGACGGCCCACCGUGCCGACAACGGGUAGCCGGGUUGAGAGACCGACCGGCCAGAUUGGGACUGAGACACGGCCCAG